AAAUUAAAAGUUUAUAAAAAUGACAAAAAAAGAGUAUGUGUUCGGUGUUGUGGGUCAAAAGGAAAAUGUAAAUGACAAAAAAAGAGUAUGUGUUAGGUGUUGUGGGUCAAAAGGAAAAUGUCCAUGAUAUGCAUAUUGUGCAUAUAAGGCAACUGAAAAUACAUGGCAGCUAAGGAAGAUUAUAGACAACCACACAUGCAGUAGGGACUUUAACAUCCGUUUAGUGACUUCAAAAUGGUUGAGCGAGAGGUUAGAGAAGACCAUAAAAGAGAAUCCCAAUAUUAAUUUGUAUAACCUCCAAAACAAAGUUUCUAAGAAGUGGAACAUUGAUGUUUCUCGGUCUACAACAUGUAGGGCAAAAGCAAUGGCUUUUAAACAAAUUGAAGGUGAUUUUAAAGAACAAUAUAGAAGACUUUAUGACUAUUCAAACGAGUUGCUUCGGUCUAAUCCUGGUUCAACUGUGAAAGUUAUGGUUGAACCUAAUGAGAACAAUAGAAUAUUCAAGAGAAUGUAUGUGUGUUUCAAGGCCUAUAUGGACAACUUCGUGUCUUGUAGACCUAUUAUAGGUUUAGAUGGUUGUUUCUUAAAAGGAAAAUAUGGAGGUGAGUUGUUAACUACGGUUGCAAGAGAUGGGAAUGAGCAAACGUGUCCUUUGGCCUAUGCUGUUGUUGAGAUGGAGAAUAAGGACAAUUGGAUUUGGUUUUUAGAAUUGCUCAUUGAUGAUCUUGGUGGUGAGGAGCUUUCUUCAACAAUCACAUAUAUUUCAGAUCAACAAAAAGGACUAGUGCCAACAUUACAAGAAUUUUCUACCUGGUGUGGAACACAGAUUUUGAGUGUGCCACAUUUAUGCAAAUUUUAGGAACAAAUUUCCUGGCCAUAUUCUAAAACAUCUAUUAUGGAAAGCAGCAUCAUCAACACACCCUCCAGAAUGAGAGGUAGUGAUGAGAGAAAUUAAAGAUGUGAAUCCAGAUGCAAUUCCACCAAGACCAAAAAAGAAGAGAAGGCUAGAGGCUUGGGAACUCAAGAAGGAUGACACACAACUAAAGCAAAAUGGAACUCGUAAGAGAUGUUCCAUAUGUAGGCAGCUUGAUCAUAAAAAAAAUACUUGCCCACAACGUCCUUCAACAAGUCAGCAACCUGAAAGCCAGCCAACAACAGGACCAAGUCAGCAACCUCAAAGCCAACCAACAACAACACCAAGUCAGCAACCUCAAAGCCAACCAACAAACAACAACACUUUAGAAGGUUUUUGAAAAUUGACAUGUAUUUUGAACAUUGACAUCACAGUAUGUUACAACCCAGUAUUGGCUGCUUUGUAAUCUAAUUCUGUAAUCA
RNA transcript from Vigna radiata var. radiata (mung bean), 1335 nucleotides. RefSeq lists it as uncharacterized. The transcript is spliced from 3 exons. Lineage: Eukaryota; Viridiplantae; Streptophyta; Magnoliopsida; Fabales; Fabaceae. The record is from RefSeq and is a predicted model, not a curated record.